UGCCAGACUCCUACGGGAGGCAGCAGUGGGGGAUAUUGCACAAUGGGGGGAACCCUGAUGCAGCGACGCCGCGUGGGUGAAGAAGCGCCUCGGCGCGUAAAGCCCUGUCAGCAGGGAAGAAAAUGACGGUACCUGAAGAAGAAGCCCCGGCUAACUACGUGCCAGCAGCCGCGGUAAUACGUAGGGGGCAAGCGUUAUCCGGAUUCACUGGGUGUAAAGGGAGCGUAGACGGCGACGCAAGUCUGGAGUGAAAGCCCGGGGCCCAACCCCGGGACUGCUCUGGAAACUGCGGCGCUGGGGUACGGGAGGGGCAGGCGGAAUUCCUGGUGUAGCGGUGAAAUGCGUAGAUAUCAGGAGGAACACCGGUGGCGAAGGCGGCCUGCUGGACUGCGACUGACGUUGAGGCCCGAAAGCGUGGGGAGCAAACAGGAUUAGAUACCCCCGUA
This 446-nucleotide ribosomal RNA is filed under the name uncultured bacterium. RNAcentral's name for it is "partial 16S ribosomal RNA". It matches the Rfam family "Bacterial small subunit ribosomal RNA", at positions 329 to 792 of the family's 1533-position model. The record is from RNAcentral.